AUCGCUUCUCGGCCUUUUGGCUAAGAUCAAGUGUAGUAUCUGUUCUUAUCAGUUUAAUAUCUGAUACGUCCCCUACCCGGGGACCAUAUAUUAAAUGGAUUUUUGGAACAGGGAGAUGGAAUAGGAGCUUGCUUCGUCCACUCCACGUAUCGACCUGGUAUUGCAGUAUUUCCAGGAACGGUACAUCCCCA
Molecule: small nuclear RNA, 191 nt
Filed under: Mastacembelus armatus (zig-zag eel)
Lineage: Eukaryota; Metazoa; Chordata; Actinopteri; Synbranchiformes; Mastacembelidae
Description: U2 spliceosomal RNA (ENSMAMG00000024663.1)
Rfam family: U2 spliceosomal RNA
About the family: U2 is a small nuclear RNA (snRNA) component of the spliceosome (involved in pre-mRNA splicing). Complementary binding between U2 snRNA (in an area lying towards the 5' end but 3' to hairpin I) and the branchpoint sequence (BPS) of the intron results the bulging out of an unpaired adenosine, on the BPS, which initiates a nucleophilic attack at the intronic 5' splice site, thus starting the first of two transesterification reactions that mediate splicing.
Source: Rfam by way of RNAcentral